AGAGUUUGAUCCUGGCUCAGGAUGAACGCUGGCGGCGUGCCUAAUACAUGCAAGUCGAGCGAACGGACGAGAAGCUUGCUUCUCUGAUGUUAGCGGCGGACGGGUGAGUAACACGUGGAUAACCUACCUAUAAGACUGGGAUAACUUCGGGAAACCGGAGCUAAUACCGGAUAAUAUUUUGAACCGCAUGGUUCAAAAGUGAAAGACGGUCUUGCUGUCACUUAUAGAUGGAUCCGCGCUGCAUUAGCUAGUUGGUAAGGUAACGGCUUACCAAGGCAACGAUGCAUAGCCGACCUGAGAGGGUGAUCGGCCACACUGGAACUGAGACACGGUCCAGACUCCUACGGGAGGCAGCAGUAGGGAAUCUUCCGCAAUGGGCGAAAGCCUGACGGAGCAACGCCGCGUGAGUGAUGAAGGUCUUCGGAUCGUAAAACUCUGUUAUUAGGGAAGAACAUAUGUGUAAGUAACUGUGCACAUCUUGACGGUACCUAAUCAGAAAGCCACGGCUAACUACGUGCCAGCAGCCGCGGUAAUACGUAGGUGGCAAGCGUUAUCCGGAAUUAUUGGGCGUAAAGCGCGCGUAGGCGGUUUUUUAAGUCUGAUGUGAAAGCCCACGGCUCAACCGUGGAGGGUCAUUGGAAACUGGAAAACUUGAGUGCAGAAGAGGAAAGUGGAAUUCCAUGUGUAGCGGUGAAAUGCGCAGAGAUAUGGAGGAACACCAGUGGCGAAGGCGACUUUCUGGUCUGUAACUGACGCUGAUGUGCGAAAGCGUGGGGAUCAAACAGGAUUAGAUACCCUGGUAGUCCACGCCGUAAACGAUGAGUGCUAAGUGUUAGGGGGUUUCCGCCCCUUAGUGCUGCAGCUAACGCAUUAAGCACUCCGCCUGGGGAGUACGACCGCAAGGUUGAAACUCAAAGGAAUUGACGGGGACCCGCACAAGCGGUGGAGCAUGUGGUUUAAUUCGAAGCAACGCGAAGAACCUUACCAAAUCUUGACAUCCUUUGACAACUCUAGAGAUAGAGCCUUCCCCUUCGGGGGACAAAGUGACAGGUGGUGCAUGGUUGUCGUCAGCUCGUGUCGUGAGAUGUUGGGUUAAGUCCCGCAACGAGCGCAACCCUUAAGCUUAGUUGCCAUCAUUAAGUUGGGCACUCUAAGUUGACUGCCGGUGACAAACCGGAGGAAGGUGGGGAUGACGUCAAAUCAUCAUGCCCCUUAUGAUUUGGGCUACACACGUGCUACAAUGGACAAUACAAAGGGCAGCGAAACCGCGAGGUCAAGCAAAUCCCAUAAAGUUGUUCUCAGUUCGGAUUGUAGUCUGCAACUCGACUACAUGAAGCUGGAAUCGCUAGUAAUCGUAGAUCAGCAUGCUACGGUGAAUGCGUUCCCGGGUCUUGUACACACCGCCCGUCACACCACGAGAGUUUGUAACACCCGAAGCCGGUGGAGUAACCUUUUAGGAGCUAGCCGUCGAAGGUGGGACAAAUGAUUGGGGUGAAGUCGUAACAAGGUAGCCGUAUCGGAAGGUGCGGCUGGAUCACCU
Molecule: ribosomal RNA, 1540 nt
Filed under: Staphylococcus aureus
Lineage: Bacteria; Bacillati; Bacillota; Bacilli; Caryophanales; Staphylococcaceae
Description: 16S ribosomal RNA
Rfam family: Bacterial small subunit ribosomal RNA
Source: RNAcentral